This 253-nucleotide ribosomal RNA is filed under the name uncultured bacterium. RNAcentral's name for it is "partial 16S ribosomal RNA". It matches the Rfam family "Bacterial small subunit ribosomal RNA", at positions 524 to 776 of the family's 1533-position model. The record is from RNAcentral.
UACGUAGGGGGCAAGCGUUGUCCGGAAUCAUUGGGCGUAAAGCGCGUGUAGGCGGUCCGGUAAGUCCGCUGUGAAAGUCGGGGGCUCAACCCUCGGAUGCCGGUGGAUACUGUCGGGCUUGAGUACGGAAGAGGCGAGUGGAAUUCCUGGUGUAGCGGUGAAAUGCGCAGAUAUCAGGAGGAACACCAAGUGCGAAGGCAGCUCGCUGGGACGUUACUGACGCUGAGACGCGAAAGCGUGGGGAGCAAACAGG